This 446-nucleotide ribosomal RNA is filed under the name uncultured bacterium. RNAcentral describes it as "bacterial SSU rRNA". It matches the Rfam family "Bacterial small subunit ribosomal RNA", at positions 331 to 792 of the family's 1533-position model. The record is from RNAcentral.
CCAGACUCCUACGGGAGGCAGCAGUGGGGAAUAUUGGGCAAUGGACGCAAGUCUGACCCAGCAACGCCGCGUGAAGGAAGAAGGCUUUCGGGUUGUAAACUUCUUUUAAGGGGGAAGAGCAGAAGACGGUACCCCUUGAAUAAGCCACGGCUAACUACGUGCCAGCAGCCGCGGUAAUACGUAGGUGGCAAGCGUUAUCCGGAAUUACUGGGUGUAAAGGGUGUGUAGGCGGGUUUGCAAGUCAGAUGUGAAAAUUAUGGGCUCAACCCAUAACCUGCGUCUGAAACUACAGAUCUUGAGAGUGGGAGAGGUAAACGGAAUUCCCGGUGUAGCGGUGAAAUGCGUAGAUAUUAGGAGGAACACCAGUGGCGAAGGCGGCCUGCUGGACGACAACUGACGGUGAGGCGCGAAAGCGUGGGGAGCAAACAGGAUUAGAUCCCCGUGUA